Molecule: long non-coding RNA, 1531 nt
Organism: Patiria miniata (bat star)
Lineage: Eukaryota; Metazoa; Echinodermata; Asteroidea; Valvatida; Asterinidae
Exons: 5
Source: RefSeq, a predicted model, not a curated record
GCCGUCCCACUUUACAUGUAGCAGUGUGUUUGUAGGGUGAUCGUGUAUCUAUGGGCUUGGUUCCUGGCACGCCAUUUCACAAAUAUUCUAGAUAAAUUGUUAAUAAAUAUGUUCCUUUUUGUCACAAUAUUUGUCUUGUUUUCAACAUUUUUAGGCACCAGCUAUAUAUGGGUGGGUCUUAUGAAAAGAGACUGGAUAUAUUGCCUGGAUUUAACUGACACUACUAUUAAAUCCAUCAUUUGUGUACAUACAAUGUACGUGUGUUCACUUUCUCUAUUUUAUGUUUAACUCAGGUAUUGGCAGACUGUCAUUAUUGAAGAUGAAGAUGGGCAACAGUACAGUGUCUCAUUAGAUGCGCCUAAUGCAAAGAGAUUGACUGGAGGAGAUUCAGAGUUUGCGAAACUAAUAUUAAGCAACAUCAAAGAGGCUGGUUCAGAGGCUGCUCAAGCCAAGAAAGGAGUGUCUUCUCCAAGCACUCCCCGACCAGACUGUCCCCGUCCAGAAGGACCAGAAGCCAGUACCGCUAGUUUGCCAUCAGGUUCAAGCACAGCAACAUCAUCUUCAAGACACGAGUGGACAGAAGGAGAAACACGGCAACUUAUAUCGGUAAUGGGCAGGCCUUAAAACUUGUACAAUUCUAAAAGGCUGUUUUAAAGAGAAUAUCAUCAUCAUCUAUUAGUCGCAAGCCAGAUCUCGUUCACAGCGCCACGCCAGGUAUCUUUAUCCCUCAUUAUGCAUGGAAGAUCUUCAAUUUCACAUUGGGUGUCUCUGCCAUUCACAUCAAUGUAGUUGGAAGCUCUUUGUCCUUUAUUAGGGCAUGGAAGUCUCCAUCAUAAUUCCACUGGGUUUGGGAACAAGGUGUGACACAUGACCAUACUAGGAAAGUUGCAGUUGCUCCGGUAAUAUUGUUGUUGGGCAUUUCACUGUUGCCAAAAAUAUGAGCAAAAAUGUCAUUCGGAUGUACAUGUAGCAUUGACACCAUGUCAAUGUUGCGUCAAAAUAUUUUUUUUCCUUGUUUAGUUCUGUAAAAUAUUAACCAAAUUCACUUUAUGUACUUCUUACUUUACAUAUACAUGCAACACAACAAGAAAACUUUUGUUAUGGUAGUCAGGAAUCAAAUAGAGCAGAAAUGAUAGCUUGGCUGUAGACGUAACAUUGACAAUGUGUCAACCCCACAUGUCACAUUUCCAUUGAGUGCUUUUGACACUGUUACAUCCACAUUAAGGUAUUGUUUCUGCUAUAUUUGAAACCUGACUAUACCAAAACAAAAGCUUUUCUUUUAGUCUAGUUCCCUGAUCCCACUGAAGAUGAAAGGGAGCAAUUUGUCGUGUCAGUGCAACAAGGUCGCAACUUGAUUCUGCAACAAAGUCGAAUCUGGAGCAAAUACGCUCUGUGCAAGGUCGUUUCUAGCAUAUUGCAACAUCCAUUGACUUUGUGUGUAUAUCUGGGUUAAUUUAAGCGAGAUACAACCUUUUGACAUUGAAAACUCGCAUGUCAUGUACAUGACAACACAUGCUGGUUUUUUUUUAGA